RNAcentral lists this ribosomal RNA (377 nucleotides) under Gracilibacter sp. KF-2016-F. Its description in RNAcentral is "bacterial SSU rRNA". It matches the Rfam family "Bacterial small subunit ribosomal RNA", at positions 969 to 1349 of the family's 1533-position model. The record is from RNAcentral. Lineage: Bacteria; Bacillati; Bacillota; Clostridia; Eubacteriales; Gracilibacteraceae.
CCUUACCAGGACUUGACAUCCUCUGCAUUACUCGUAACUGAGGAAAUCCUUCGGGACAGAGAGACAGGUGGUGCAUGGUUGUCGUCAGCUCGUGUCGUGAGAUGUUGGGUUAAGUCCCGCAACGAGCGCAACCCUUAUCCUUAGUUGCUAACAGUAAGAUGAGCACUCUAGGGAGACUGCCGGGGACAACUCGGAGGAAGGUGGGGAUGACGUCAAAUCAUCAUGCCCCUUAUGUUCUGGGCUACACACGUGCUACAAUGGGUAUAACAACGGGAAGCAAGCUGGUGACAGUAAGCAAAUCCCUAAAAAGUACUCUCAGUUCAGAUUGUAGGCUGCAACUCGCCUACAUGAAGUUGGAGUUGCUAGUAAUCGCGAAU